Cinara cedri is the source of this 258-nucleotide non-coding RNA. NCBI's taxonomy places the organism in Eukaryota, Metazoa, Arthropoda, Insecta, Hemiptera, Aphididae. The record is from the annotation of a GenBank genome assembly.
AAACCACUGUCAUAGACGUAAUAUGUCGUGACUAAUGAAAUUAAUGUUGAUGGAUUAUACGACUAUUUGAAUGUAAUCGUAAGUAUAUAUUUGUUUUUCUACAUACAAGAUGUGUUCGGUAAAAACACUCCAAAUUAUUCGCAUCAUCGUGCACACAAAAAUAUUCGGAUUAUUCGACCGGUGAUACUUUAUCUGUAAACUAUCUAUUUACGUCUUUAAAUAUCUAUUCAAUUUUCUCUAAAUUAAAAAAAAAAACUG